This 350-nucleotide ribosomal RNA is filed under the name uncultured bacterium. Its description in RNAcentral is "bacterial SSU rRNA". It matches the Rfam family "Bacterial small subunit ribosomal RNA", at positions 8 to 349 of the family's 1533-position model. The record is from RNAcentral.
AGAGUUUGAUCAUGGCUCAGGAUGAACGCUAGCUACAGGCUUAACACAUGCAAGUCGAGGGGAAACGACAUCGAAAGCUUGCUUUUGAUGGGCGUCGACCGGCGCACGGGUGAGUAACGCGUAUCCAACCUGCCCAUCACUUGGGGAUAACCUUGCGAAAGUAAGACUAAUACCCAAUGACGUCUCUAGAAGACAUCUGAAAGAGAUUAAAGAUUUAUCGGUGAUGGAUGGGGAUGCGUCUGAUUAGCUUGUUGGCGGGGUAACGCCACCAAGGCGACGAUCAGUAGGGGUUCUGAGAGGAAGGUCCCCCANAUUGGAACUGAGACACGGUCCAAACUCAUACGGGAGCA